CAAAAAUUGAAUCACCAACGGCCUUAAUGAAAUAACAUUACCGACGGCCAAGAAGACCUUAGCGAGGGCUCUAUGGCCUUUGGUAAGAGCCUCGACCAAUUAAACUCAGUGAUUGGGGGUAUUCGUGCAGGUCGUCCCCAAUUUCAUCAAACAGAACCCUCCCUCCCCUCUGCUGAGAAAUACUGAGAAUUUGGUUGUAGAUUCCCAUCGACCUUCCCGUUUACUCCCUCUGCCUUCCCUUUCGCUUGCUAUCGUUCAUUCUCUCCCUAUCCCUCUACCUAUAUGUUCUGUCUGAUGGCAUUGUGUGCCUAGGGUUCGUCGUGUCGUUGUGGGUGUUGCAGGUGGGGUGGUGGUUCGUGGUCAUUAGCGUCAGGAGGUCCUUGCGGUGAAACCCAAGGUUGGCUGUUCGGUUGAGAGCUCGCAGUGUUGCUUGGCUUCCAUUGAAUUGGGUGUUCUGGAGUGCGAGGGUGAGCUUUUAAAGGAGUUUGGAUUGUGGCCACAAAGGGAGGACGAGAGUCUACGGAGAAGACUUAACUAGGAAAGGAAAGCAAAGGCAAAGGACGUACAAAAUAUCCCUCCGACCCAGCCACGACCCUCCUCGUCACCCGCUGCCCCAAUGCAGCCCACAGCAGUCCAACCUUCAUCAGUCCAACCCUCACCAGUCCAACCCACACCAGUCCAUCCAUCAAUAGAGGAGCAGGAUGAUGAAGAUCAUUCUGAUGAUAACUAUGUACAUUAUUAGUUUCAUUUCCUUAUUACUUGUUAUACAAACAUUUGGAUAUUAGAACAUUUAGAGUUUAGAUCAUUUCGAUGUUACAUCAACUGGGUGACUUUGGAUGUUAGAACAUCAUUUC
Molecule: small RNA, 854 nt
Filed under: Vigna angularis var. angularis
Lineage: Eukaryota; Viridiplantae; Streptophyta; Magnoliopsida; Fabales; Fabaceae
Description: Non-protein coding transcript
Source: RNAcentral